RNAcentral lists this transfer RNA (75 nucleotides) under Candidatus Colwellbacteria bacterium RBG_13_48_8. RNAcentral describes it as "tRNA-Asn". It matches the Rfam family "tRNA". From Rfam's summary of the family: Transfer RNA (tRNA) molecules are approximately 80 nucleotides in length. The record is from RNAcentral. Lineage: Bacteria; Candidatus Colwelliibacteriota.
UCCGCAGUAGCUCAACGGUAGAGCGGCUCCCUGUUAAGGAGAAGGUUGUAGGUUCGAAUCCUACCUGCGGAGCUA